RNAcentral lists this ribosomal RNA (742 nucleotides) under uncultured bacterium. Its description in RNAcentral is "bacterial SSU rRNA". It matches the Rfam family "Bacterial small subunit ribosomal RNA", at positions 8 to 796 of the family's 1533-position model. The record is from RNAcentral.
AGAGUUUGAUCCUGGCUCAGAACGAACGCUGGCGGCAUGCCUAACACAUGCAAGUCGAACGAUGCUUUCGGGCAUAGUGGCGCACGGGUGCGUAACGCGUGGGAAUCUGCCCCUUGGUUCGGAAUAACAGUUAGAAAUGACUGCUAAUACCGGAUGACGACGUAAGUCCAAAGAUUUAUCGCCGAGGGAUGAGCCCGCGUAGGAUUAGCUAGUUGGUGUGGUAAAGGCGCACCAAGGCGACGAUCCUUAGCUGGUCUGAGAGGAUGAUCAGCCACACUGGGACUGAGACACGGCCCAGACUCCUACGGGAGGCAGCAGUGGGGAAUAUUGGACAAUGGGCGCAAGCCUGAUCCAGCAAUGCCGCGUGAGUGAUGAAGGCCUUAGGGUUGUAAAGCUCUUUUACCCGUGAUGAUAAUGACAGUAGCGGGAGAAUAAGCCCCGGCUAACUCCGUGCCAGCAGCCGCGGUAAUACGGAGGGGGCUAGCGUUGUUCGGAAUUACUGGGCGUAAAGCGCACGUAGGCGGCUUUGUAAGUUAGAGGUGAAAGCCUGGAGCUCAACUCCAGAACUGCCUUUAAGACUGCAUCGCUUGAAUCCAGGAGAGGUGAGUGGAAUUCCGAGUGUAGAGGUGAAAUUCGUAGAUAUUCGGAAGAACACCAGUGGCGAAGGCGGCUCACUGGACUGGUAUUGACGCUGAGGUGCGAAAGCGUGGGGAGCAAGCAGGAUUAGAUACCCUGGUAGUCC